Triticum aestivum (bread wheat) is the source of this 135-nucleotide non-coding RNA. The record is from Rfam. Lineage: Eukaryota; Viridiplantae; Streptophyta; Magnoliopsida; Poales; Poaceae.
UUUGUACUCCCUCCGUCCCAAAAUUCUUGUCUUAAAUUUGUCUAAAUAUGGAUGUAUCUAGUUACAUUUAAGUGUUAGAUACAUCCAUAUCUAAACAAAUGUAAGACAAGAAUUUUGGGACGGAGGGAAUAGUAC